Molecule: non-coding RNA, 87 nt
Organism: Nilaparvata lugens (brown planthopper)
Lineage: Eukaryota; Metazoa; Arthropoda; Insecta; Hemiptera; Delphacidae
Source: the annotation of a RefSeq genome assembly
GCCCGGCUGAACGCUGGUGGUCCAGUGUGCAGACUUCAAAUCUGUAGCUGUCUUGCGGCAGAGUGGUUCGAUUCCACCUGACGGGCG